GACGAACGCUGGCGGCGUGCUUAACACAUGCAAGUCGAGCGGAAAGGCCCUUCGGGUACUCGAGCGGCGAACGGGUGAGUAACACGUGAGUAACCUGCCCUGGACUUUGGGUUAACCCUCGGAAACGGGGGCUAAUACCGAAUACGACUUCUGCCCGCAUGGGUGGUGGUGGAAAGUUUUUCGGUCUGGGAUGGCUCGCGGCCUAUCAGCUUGUUGGUGGGGUGAUGGCCUACCAAGGCGACGACGGGUAGCCGGCCNGAGAGGGCGACCGGCCACACUGGGACUGAGACACGGCCCAGACUCCUACGGGAGGCAGCAGUGGGGAAUAUUGCACAAUGGGGCGGAAGCCUGAUGCAGCGACGCCG
This 365-nucleotide ribosomal RNA is filed under the name uncultured bacterium. RNAcentral describes it as "bacterial SSU rRNA". It matches the Rfam family "Bacterial small subunit ribosomal RNA", at positions 28 to 399 of the family's 1533-position model. The record is from RNAcentral.